AAUUGUACAUUUCUUUCUAUCCUUUGUCUUCGUAAAAUUGGGUGACUAAUGCGGCCCGGUGCCCGUUAGUCUCCUUUCUGUCUAAAAAAAAAAAUCCCCUCCCCUUGUUUUCAUCCCCUUUCUUUUUUUUUCUUUUUCCUUCUAUUAUUUUUUUUUUUAUGCCCUGUGGGAGUUUUGCCUUUCAUUCUAAAUCAUUUCAUUUCCGGAACAAAAUGUGUUGCAGGAUCUUCAUCAUUUGCUCAAAAACAAGAUCCACACGACAACAUGCUAUUGGGUCGAACAUGGUC
This 287-nucleotide long non-coding RNA is filed under the name Elaeis guineensis (African oil palm). Its description in RNAcentral is "long non-coding RNA (EGUI_LNC071544)". Lineage: Eukaryota; Viridiplantae; Streptophyta; Magnoliopsida; Arecales; Arecaceae. The record is from RNAcentral.